AAUCCCGCCAGGUGUGCCGGCGCUGGGUGGUGGACGGCUGGGACCUGUGGCGGAGCAUCCUGCCCUGGAAACACCCGGACCUGUGGCCCGUCAUCCGCACCUGCCUGCCCCCUGCUGACGACCCCGGACCCUGCAUCCUGGGCCGCUUCUGCGAGCGCAGACCCAUAGGACGCAACCUCCUCCGGGACUCUCAGAGCUCUCGUGGCCUAGGUGGUUUCUAAAGAAGGAAGUAUUGGACCUAGGGGAAGAGAGCCAGAACUCCUGGAUAGUGG
Bos taurus (domestic cattle) is the source of this 272-nucleotide long non-coding RNA. The record is from Ensembl. NCBI's taxonomy places the organism in Eukaryota, Metazoa, Chordata, Mammalia, Artiodactyla, Bovidae.